Molecule: ribosomal RNA, 209 nt
Filed under: uncultured bacterium
Lineage: Bacteria
Description: partial 16S ribosomal RNA
Rfam family: Bacterial small subunit ribosomal RNA
Source: RNAcentral
AACGUAGGAGGCAAGCGUUAUCCGGAUUUACUGGGCGUAAAGGGCGUGUAGGUGGUUAGGAAAGUUGGCUGUGAAAGCUCCUGGCUCAACUGGGAGAGGUCAGUCAAAACUUCCUGACUUGAGGGUCGGAGAGGGGUGUGGAAUUCCCGGUGUAGCGGUGGAAUGCUUAGAGAUCGGGAGGAACACCAGUGGCGAAGGCGACACCUGGC